This 497-nucleotide ribosomal RNA is filed under the name uncultured bacterium. Its description in RNAcentral is "partial 16S ribosomal RNA". It matches the Rfam family "Bacterial small subunit ribosomal RNA", at positions 28 to 507 of the family's 1533-position model. The record is from RNAcentral.
GAUGAACGCUGGCGGCGUGCCUAAUACAUGCAAGCCGAGCGAACGGACGAGAAGCUUGCUUCUCUGAUGUUAGCGGCGGACGGGUGAGUAACACGUGGAUAACCUACCUAUAAGACUGGGAUAACUUCGGGAAACCGGAGCUAAUACCGGAUGAUAUUUUGAACCGCAUGGUUCAAAAGUGAAAGACGGUCUUGCUGUCACUUAUAGAUGGAUCCGCGCUGCAUUAGCUAGUUGGUAAGGUAACGGCUUACCAAGGCAACGAUGCAUAGCCGACCUGAGAGGGUGAUCGGCCACACUGGAACUGAGACACGGUCCAGACUCCUACGGGAGGCAGCAGUAGGGAAUCUUCCGCAAUGGGCGAAAGCCUGACGGAGCAACGCCGCGUGAGUGAUGAAGGUCUUCGGAUCGUAAAACUCUGUUAUUAGGGAAGAACAUAUGUGUAAGUAACUGUGCACAUCUUGACGGUACCUAAUCAGAAAGCCACGGCUAACUACGUG